AUUGAACGCUGGCGGCAGGCCUAACACAUGCAAGUCGAGCGGAUGAAGGGAGCUUGCUCCUGGAUUCAGCGGCGGACGGGUGAGUAAUGCCUAGGAAUCUGCCUGGCAGUGGGGGAUAACGUCCGGAAACGGGCGCUAAUACCGCAUACGUCCUGAGGGAGAAAGUGGGGGAUCUUCGGACCUCACGCUAUCAGAUGAGCCUAGGUCGGAUUAGCUAGUUGGUGGGGUAAAGGCCUACCAAGGCGACGAUCCGUAACUGGUCUGAGAGGAUGAUCAGUCACACUGGAACUGAGACACGGUCCAGACUCCUACGGGAGGCAGCAGUGGGGAAUCUUGGACAAUGGGCGAAAGCCUGAUGCAGCCAUGCCGCGUGUGUGAAGAAGGUCUUCGGAUUGUAAAGCACUUUAAGUUGGGAGGAAGGGCAGUAAGUUAAUACCUUGCUGUUUUGACGUUACCAACAGAAUAAGCACCGGCUAACUUCGUG
This 484-nucleotide ribosomal RNA is filed under the name uncultured bacterium. RNAcentral describes it as "partial 16S ribosomal RNA". It matches the Rfam family "Bacterial small subunit ribosomal RNA", at positions 30 to 507 of the family's 1533-position model. The record is from RNAcentral.